RNAcentral lists this ribosomal RNA (463 nucleotides) under uncultured bacterium. Its description in RNAcentral is "partial 16S ribosomal RNA". It matches the Rfam family "Bacterial small subunit ribosomal RNA", at positions 28 to 507 of the family's 1533-position model. The record is from RNAcentral.
GACGAACGCUGGCGGCGUGCUUAACACAUGCAAGUCGAGCGGUAAGGCCCUUCGGGGUACACGAGCGGCGAACGGGUGAGUAACACGUGAGUAAUCUGCCCAUCACUUCGGGAUAACUCCGGGAAACCGGUGCUAAUACCGAAUAUGACCACUUCGGGCAUCUGAUGGUGGUGGAAAGUUCCGGCGGUGAUGGAUGAGCUCGCGGCCUAUCAGCUUGUUGGUGGGGUAGUGGCCUACCAAGGCUUCGACGGGUAGCCGGCCUGAGAGGGUGACCGGCCACACUGGGACUGAGACACGGCCCAGACUCCUACGGGAGGCAGCAGUGGGGAAUAUUGGACAAUGGGCGAAAGCCUGAUCCAGCAACGCCGCGUGAGGGAUGACGGCCUUCGGGUUGUAAACCUCUUUCAGCAGGGACGAAGCGCAAGUGACGGUACCUGCAGAAGAAGCACCGGCCAACUACGUG